GUCACCAAAGGGCCGUCUCUUUCAUCCAUGAAAUGCAGCUAUUCACUCAGCUGCUGUAUGAAUGUGAAUAACAAAUGUAAACUAUAAAUGUCUUCUGGUCAUUGGACAUCAGCUUGUUUGACUUCCUGUCCUCUGGUCUCUUUACAGGUGGUGAUGUCAUCCUGGUGAGUCCUGUCCGUCCUGUGACUGAGGGACAUUCGGUCACUCUUGGCUGCAAGUUGAGGACAGAAAACCUUCUUUAUGAUGUGGAUUUCUAUAAAAAUGACAAACUCGUCCCAAAUGCUGUCAGAGGGGAGCUGCUUAUCUCUGCAGUUACUAAGUCAGAUGAAGGCUUUUAUAAAUGUAGAGGAAGGAAAUCACUUCAAGGUUUGGAGACUUUGACCUCAGCAGAGAGCUGGUUGUCAGUGAAAUAUCCUGAAGAAGCAGCACCAAGCUCUGUGUUUUUUGUGCUGUUGGUUGUUGGUCUGGUUUCUGGAGUUUUACUGAUUAUUCUCCUGCUGCUGUUUCUGUGUCGCUACAGAAAGUCAAAAGCUUCAAGCCUCAGCAGGUCUCAGAGGACCAAUCAGAGCCCAGCUACAGACCACAUGAUCAACCAGGGUGAAACUCAAGACGGACAUUAUGCUUCUCUUCUUCCUGGUGAUUCUUGUCUCUAUGAAACACUCGGAGGCUCUGAAGAACCUGAACAUGGGACGAAUGAUGAACCAGAGGAGAGCGAUUACCAAAAUGUGAGGAUGGAACCAGCUGCAGACGGAUAAAAACAUCUGCAUGAACAGAACCAGGGGAACGGAUGACGACAUGAAAAACCACAUCUUUGUCUUUUGAGUAAAAAUUGAAUGAACUUCUUCUUUCCUGAUGAGACAGUAUUUUGUAGUUACCUAUGAAAACAUAAUUCAAAUACAUUAUACGUCUUUAAAAGUUUUACUUGGUAAAGUGUUGAUUAUUACAUUAUUCAAAUGUUGGUAUUGAGUGUUGUUUUUUAAAGCUUUUGUCGAGAACUUUGAAUGCAGGCUUGUUUGAAAAGUUUAAAAAAAAGUUUGACAUCUUUGAGCGUGAGUACAUUGGUGAUAUUAUUCAAUAUGAAGUAAUUUUAUUUUAUUUCUGAUUUUAAAAAGUUCUACAGAUUUAUUACACAUUUAAUCCGUUGGACAACAUAUUUCUUCAACAUUUAAGUUUAACUUUAAGAGUUUUAACAGGUGCUGUUUGUAUUUUAUCUUCAGCUGUUUGUGUUUAACACAUUUUGUAAUGUUUCAUCUUGUCAUGCAUCAAUAAACUUGCAGCUCUAAGCAGUGUUUCCUACAGUCAUUUCUUUAAAUAAAUACAAAUGAGAGAUUACAGGGAACGUAUGUCUACAUGCUCCUCCUGCAUUCAUCUGGAAUCAAUUGAACUAUUUUUAAAGAGGAAUUUAUUGAAAGUAGUCACUACAGUUAACUGGUGUCUUAAAGCUGAAUUCUUUAACUUUCCACAUAUUGUCUUUUAAAAAGGUUCUCUCUAUCUCUCUACACACACACACACACACACAACUCAGAACUAUGUGCUGUAACAGGAGAACAAGGAUUUAGGACCCAA
Molecule: long non-coding RNA, 1566 nt
Organism: Pungitius pungitius (ninespine stickleback)
Lineage: Eukaryota; Metazoa; Chordata; Actinopteri; Perciformes; Gasterosteidae
Exons: 7
Source: RefSeq, a predicted model, not a curated record